This 476-nucleotide ribosomal RNA is filed under the name uncultured bacterium. Its description in RNAcentral is "partial 16S ribosomal RNA". It matches the Rfam family "Bacterial small subunit ribosomal RNA", at positions 28 to 523 of the family's 1533-position model. The record is from RNAcentral.
GAUGAACGCUGGCGGCGUGCUUAACACAUGCAAGUCGAGCGAGAGAGUUCUUCGGAACAAUCUAGCGGCGGACGGGUGAGAAACACGUGGGCAACCUGCCUCAUAGAGGGGAAUAGCCUUCCGAAAGGAAGAUUAAUACCGCAUAACAUCGUUGAAGGGCAUCCUUCGAUGAUCAAAGGAGCAAUCCGCUAUGAGAUGGGCCCGAGGCGCAUUAGCUAGUUGGUGAGGUAACGGCUCACCAAGGCGACGAUGCGUAGCCGACCUGAGAGGGUGAUCGGCCACAUUGGGACUGAGACACGGCCCAGACUCCUACGGGAGGCAGCAGUGGGGAAUAUUGCACAAUGGGGGAAACCCUGAUGCAGCAACGCCGCGUGAGUGAUGACGGCCUUCGGGUUGUAAAGCUCUGUCUUUGGGGACGAUAAUGACGGUACCCAAGGAGGAAGUCACGGCUAACUACGUGCCAGCAGCCGCAGUAA